RNAcentral lists this unclassified non-coding RNA (712 nucleotides) under Hevea brasiliensis (rubber tree). The record is from RNAcentral. Lineage: Eukaryota; Viridiplantae; Streptophyta; Magnoliopsida; Malpighiales; Euphorbiaceae.
UUUGAUAUCGAAAAAUUCUUUUAUCUCGAAAUCUGAAAAAUAUUCACUUUGUUAUAUCAUAUUACUAGUAAAAAAAAUGGCAGGUAUGCUAGCUGGUGUUGAAUGUGCUAGAAGAAGAAAAUUUCAUAAAAAUAAUGGAAUGUUUGAUUCAUCAUAUAAUAUAUCUUCAUCCACAAGAAGAUCUUUUCUAUGUCUAUACACAAGUAGCCAUGAACAUAACCUUACAUCAAGAUUAUCCCAGGAAAGAAAUGCAACAAGCCAAGAAUAUGAAGAUGAGAAAUUAGGUGAAGUUGCAAGAGAAGCCAAACAAAGAUUGGAUGAGAGGCUCAGUUCCCAAUGGAAAUCACAAAAUAAGAGGGUUGCCAAGGGAUACAAAAGUCUAGGGCAAUGGAGGGGCCUGAUUAGCUGACAAAUGGUUUGGCCAAUAUUCAAAGUUGUAGUUUGAGAAAGAAAAGGCUAUUUUUAAUACACCGAGGGGUCGUUUCGUUACUGUAUAAGACACAUUUUAUUCAUGUAUAAAUGUAUUUUUGCUUUUUAAGAGUGCUCUUAGUGGACUUGCAAGUAGUGUAUAAGAUUUCUUGUAAUGAACCUAAUUGACUUGGUAAUAUGUAUUUGAUAAAAGUAUACAAGGGCCGGUUUAGCUAUGCAAUAUGAUAUCAUGAUAUGGAAUAAUGACAUGAAACUAAAGUUUUGUUUGGACAUGCGAUAUGGA